RNAcentral lists this ribosomal RNA (253 nucleotides) under uncultured Pelagibacterales bacterium. Its description in RNAcentral is "partial 16S ribosomal RNA". It matches the Rfam family "Bacterial small subunit ribosomal RNA", at positions 524 to 776 of the family's 1533-position model. The record is from RNAcentral. Lineage: Bacteria; Pseudomonadati; Pseudomonadota; Alphaproteobacteria; Candidatus Pelagibacterales.
UACGAAGGGACCUAGCGUAGUUCGGAAUUACUGGGCUUAAAGAGUUCGUAGGUUGUUGAAAUAGUUGGUGGUGAAAUCCCAGAGCUUAACUCUGGAACUGCCAUCAAAACUUUUCAGCUAGAGUAUGAUAGAGGAAAGCAGAAUUUCUAGUGUAGAGGUGAAAUUCGUAGAUAUUAGAAAGAAUACCAAUUGCGAAGGCAGCUUUCUGGAUCAUUACUGACACUGAGGAACGAAAGCAUGGGUAGCGAAGAGG